GCUUUUUAUGUCUUGUUUAUGAAAUUUUUUCUUACCCAAAGACGAUACUUUCCUAUGUUAUUUCUAGAAGUUACUGUUUGAAUUUUGCAUUUAAAUCUACAACCCAUCUAGAAUUGAUUUUUGAGUACUGUGAGAGGUAGUCAAUUAGAUAGCCAAUUAACACAGCACCAUUUUUUUAAUUUCAAAAAUCCUUCUCCCUAUCGUACUUCUAUCAUUAUCAUAUCACAAUCACCAUCAUUAUUAUCAACAUUACCAUCAUCAUCAUUUGUUUAUAAACUUGUCUUCUCCAUUAAACCCUUAGCAUCUUUGAACAUGACUGUGUUCUGUUCAUUUUCCCUUUAUACCUAACACCGCUGCUAAUUAAGAGCUUAUAUUCAAUAAAUGUUUGUUUAAUAAUUACGCCAUGUCAAUCUAUAGUAUGAGUAGAGAUAUUGCAGGAAAGUACGUGAUUAUUUUCAGCGUGCAGGGACUCCGCCUUAGUAUAUUGUACAGAAAGGUAUUAACAGAAUGUGGAGGGCAGUGAAUGACUAUUGCAGGUCUUCAGAGAACCGAGACCUGCUAAAAGACUGGCGACAGCAUAACGAUGUUUUGUUUUUUCUCUACAUUCUGGUGAGUUUGAAGUGGAUUCUCAGAAAUACUACCAAAUGGAUUUUGAGAACAUAAAAAAAAUGGAGCAAAGAAUUCUAGGAGCCAACAUCAGUUAACUGAGAACAAGUCAUGACAGACCAAAUUUAAUUGCUCUUUUGUAGCAUAUGUAGCUCGGUACGGUAGGAAAAUGUAGUUUCUGUGCUUUAGAAAUGCAUUUGGUAAGCCCCCUCAUGAUAUCCCAGUGAACAAGAGCUGGGACUCCUAGACAGUAAGUUUCUUUGAGGACAGAAACCAUGACCUUUUAACUAUAUUCUCUGCCUGGCACCUAAUACACCAUAAUCAAUCACUGUUAAUGAAUGAUUUAUAAUAGAGUUAGGAGGAUUCUGAUAGAGCAGAGUGUCUCUGCUGAGCAUGAACUUGUACUCAGGAUCUGGCUGUUUGAUGACCUGGUAGUCUAGUCUAUUUAUGUGAUUUGAUGAUGUACAGGACUUUUAUUUAGGGCUGAAAUAGAAUGAAGAGGUUUGAAAGCCUGAGAAGAAAAAUGAGGGUAACAGGACUGGGUAAGACAGGGAUGGCUUUAUCUACAUGUCUCCAGUUUGAGGUACUACAUUUCAGAUGUGAUGAGGAGAGGGAUAAAGGGCAGAAGGUUUAGGAGACGAGUUCAUAAAGCACACUGGAGGCUAUGGCACAAACAUUGCUGCUCUGGCUCCAAGUGAACAUUCCUCCCCAGCCUGACCAUGCACCACUGAGGGAUUUGGCAGCCAGACCAUGGGCUCAGGGGAACGACCUUGGGACAUUCUCACAGAGAACACUGGCAGUGGGGGUCAUAGAGAUGCGACUCAUAAAGAAGAACAUGAGCCAACUUGUUCCUGGAUAUGAGUGACACACCCCGACAUCCCAGCAAUAACUAGGAGCGACUUUGACAGGGCACUGAAGAAGUCCUUGAGUGUCAAAGUUAGAGGCUAAGUCACUGUAAUUUGGAAAUUAAUGCUAAUGCAACUUCAUUUCAACAGGCUGGUGAGAGCUGGGGGAAUUCUAGAACACAUAACUAUUAAAUGACCACAAAUAAUAUACAAUUUAUUGAAAUUCUAAUCAAUUGCCAAAUCUUUGCAUACAAUAUUUUACUUAAUCUUUUUAAUAAUCCAAUUAGAUAAGUUUCGUUAGCAAUAAAUUUCUUUUUGUUUGUCUAUUUUUCCAGAUAAACCUUGGAAACACUUGUAAAGUUGUUGAUUUUUAAUUCCAUUUGAAUUUUAAGUAGAAUUAUUUUUGCACAUAUAUUUGUUAGAAAAAAAUAUCAUUGGGAUAUUCAGUCUUCUCAUAAUUAGAGCAAGGCGUGUAUCUCCAAAUAUUCCAAAAACAUACUAUCUAUUUACAAAAAAACUUCUUCACAUACUCCCUGCACUUCUUGAUAAGGUUAUUCUAACUUAUUUUGUGUAUGUUUCUAAUAUGGUGAAUGACCUCUUCUUUCAUUUAUAUUCUUCAUAUAUUCUUACAUUUUCUAAGUGAGAAUUAGCGGAAUAACAUAGUUAUUGUUAAAUGUCCUUCAUAUAUGCCAUUUUACUGAACUUUUUUUUAUUAUAAUACUUUUUUAGUUUAAUCACAUAUGUUUUACAGGGAUAUCUUCAAAUCUACAAAUAAUAAUGUUAUCUUCACUUGUCCAAAAUGUACAUACAGCUUAUUUCUAUUUCACUCUUAUUGCAUUAACCAGAACUUACAAAACAUUACAUGAUAAUGUGAUUUUGAGCAGAAUUAUCUAUUUUUAAACCUUUCCAUGUGACAAAAUGGAAAUAGUUUAAACACUUCCUAACUCACAUAUAAUUAAAUUCAAAACUAUGGGAGAAAUGAUCCUAAGAGAAGCUUGGAAGGUGGGAGGGAGACAAGGAUAUUCAGGAAUCUACAUAUGGGAAACUGAGAAGGAAGAGACACAGGGAAAAAGCUGGGGUCUGACAAUGUUAGCACGAAUGAGUAUACCAGACACUUCCCUGAAACCAGAUCUGGAGAGAGAAGUAAAGACUGAGUGAGAACGUCAGAGACAGCGUCGUGAAUCGGAUAUAAAGGCAAGGUGGCAGGCGCUGAGGAAGGAGAGAGUGGAUCAUAUACAACAAAUUUUGUCUUCCAUAUGAUUUCGCUUGGGAUCAAGCUUCAAAAUACAUAUGACAUGUUGUAUGGUGCUAAUUUUUGCUGAUAGCCAGAAUAAUGAGUUCACAUAUUUGAUCUCUGUAUUCCUAUUGUGAAGCAAGGGCAAAAUUUCAUUGUCACCAUCAUAGGCAUGGUCCAUUUAAUUCAUUAUGGGAAUGGGAGGGACAGUUUUUCUGAGGCAUUUGUGAUAAGAAUAAAGAUGAGGCUUAGAGUCAAAGCCACAAAUAAUUGAGAAAGACAGAAUGAGGUUUUUCUACAAGGACAGCUUGAAUUUUUUAAAUAGAAUCAAUGUAUUGGCAGAAUUUACUGGAAGAGGAGAGUUAAUUAGAAUUGACUACACAAUCACACUGAGAUAUACUUUCAUAAUAGAUGUCAGACCUGCAGAUAGAACUUGUACCCUAGAUUUUUUAAUUAAGUUGAGGUUAUUCUUCUGACAGAGGGAAGGCUCUCAAGAUGCAGGAAGAUGCUCCCCCCAAUUGACAGGCCUCUGGCUAAUGAUGAAAAACCUCUUCGUUACGGAAAAAUGCUCUUUCCCAGUCGGUUGCUUUUCUUUCAAAGAAUUAAAUUUUAGGGAGCAGGGGCUGGGACAUCAAGAGUAAUGAGCAGAAAGAGCAUGUCCUUUGGAAGCAAAAUGUCAGCCUGCAUCAUGGCCUACCCCUUAUCACACUUCAUAGUUUGGGCAAGUAUUGAGAAACUGCAAACCUCAGGCUACUCGUCAGUAAAAAGGAAAUAAAACUAUCCAUAUAAUAGGAUAAUGUAAAGAUUAAGAAAUAUAUACAAUUUCAUGACCUGGUACCCGGUACCCUUAAAGGAAAUUAAAAGUCUUGGUUCUCCUCUAUUGCUAUUUAUAUAACAUUUUGAAAUACACUAUUACUUCCAUAUUUGUACAUUUUUAUCCUUGUUCACCAUCUUCUUAUUAGCCAGAGCGUCCAUUGCCUCAGAGAAGUUUAGUCUCUUUAUAGCUGGGAUGCAAGCACAAACAAAAAUUUACGUUCAUUUCUGGACUUCCAAAAGAGGCACUUGAAAUCCACCUCUGAAAAAACAGUCCUGAAAUCCAGGCUUUUGAUUGCAACUUCUGGGCCUUUGUGAUAAAAAGGGUGUUCUAAAUCCCAACAGCUUCCCUUUAAACAUGAAGGAAGCAGGCUUGGAGGUCAGAGCACAGUGAUUUUACUAUCAGCCACAGAGGAGGAAAGAUGUCAGAUAUGGCAGAGGUGUGCUGAAAUAAGCAUGCUCGGGGAACGCUGGUCUGGAAGGCAGCCGGGGUCCGGACAGGGAGAGGCAGAGUGCCUCCAGUGCUGCAGCCCAGGCCCCAUCCUGUCAGCUCACCAUGCUCACAGCUCAAGGGGCGUAGGCAGAGCUGCAUCGGAUUCACGGGCCGGAAGACUACAGGAUCCGGGGAACCCUCUGA
Equus caballus (horse) is the source of this 4135-nucleotide long non-coding RNA. The record is from Ensembl. Lineage: Eukaryota; Metazoa; Chordata; Mammalia; Perissodactyla; Equidae.